Long non-coding RNA from Pristis pectinata (smalltooth sawfish), 961 nucleotides. RefSeq lists it as uncharacterized. Lineage: Eukaryota; Metazoa; Chordata; Chondrichthyes; Rhinopristiformes; Pristidae. The record is from RefSeq and is a predicted model, not a curated record. The transcript has 4 exons.
GAAAAUAUAACGGCCGGUGGCGCCGAUCUCCGGGCUCCCAUUACCGACGCUCACAUGUUUAAGUGUGCUGGAGGCCAUUUGAAUGAGGUCACUGACUGUCAUCAUAAAACUUCUGUGGGAGGGAAUUCAAUGGAUCAGGCACCUGACCAAAAGAAAUAAUGAGAGCUAAACUCAGGAAAUUCUAAAAGGCCAAGAAUCCCCAGCCAAAUGAGUGGCGAUUCUGAUCCAACACCAGGUCAUGCUGGAACGGGAUUGGAGAGGCGGAUUGCCUAUUUUAAUGUUGGGAAUCCCAGCAUGAACACACUCCACCAUUGAGCUCAAAGUGUAGGCUGGAAACUUGCUUACUUGGGAACUGCCUGCCAUAUAAUUUGGUCUAUUGGUGCCUGGAGAAUAUGAGAUAUUUUGGUUGAAACUACACAAUUUCCUGGCUUCCCAGUGUUUAUUGCCUGAAAUUUAUGAUGGUUCCAAGUUUACUGGUUUGACCAGCACUGGGAAGGCCAUGUGUAUUACCAGUUUAAAGCUGAUCAAAAAGCAGGUUCCCUUUCUGUAGAACAUGAGUGAAUCAUAUUUUUUUCUGAAAUCUAUUAUAUGGUCAUUUAUUUAGAGGCACACCAUAAAUUAAAUAACUUAUUACGUUUUAUUUUCCUGCUGGAUCAUUAGUUCAGUAUCAUUAGCACACAGGAGCUAUAAGGUUUUCAGAAAAUGAGAUAAACAUUGAGUAGUUUGUGAAUGUUAUCAUGUUUUAAUUGAUAAAUUAUAUUAUCGAUAGUUUGGAGAUAAAUGCAUUGAAUACAUUCAAAUCAUGGUCCAUACAAAAGUGGAUCCUCAGCUUGGCAGAGAUGACCUACAGAUUAGUCCUAUUCAUUCUACCUGAAAUUAUCCAUAAUUUCUUAAACAUGGUGCUGUGGAGAGAAAACAGAUUUAAAAAUUCUGAACCCAAUUCCUUUAAACUUAGUUUCAA